This 660-nucleotide ribosomal RNA is filed under the name bacterium. RNAcentral describes it as "bacterial SSU rRNA". It matches the Rfam family "Bacterial small subunit ribosomal RNA", at positions 766 to 1423 of the family's 1533-position model. The record is from RNAcentral.
GAGCGAACAGGAUUAGAUACCCUGGUAGUCCAUGCCGUAAACGUUGGGCACUAGGUGUGGGGGACAUUCCACGUUUUCCGCGCCGUAGCUAACGCAUUAAGUGCCCCGCCUGGGGAGUACGGCCGCAAGGCUAAAACUCAAAGAAAUUGACGGGGGCCCGCACAAGCGGCGGAGCAUGCGGAUUAAUUCGAUGCAACGCGAAGAACCUUACCAAGGCUUGACAUAUACUGGACUCCCCUAGAGAUAGGGUUUCCCUUCGGGGCUGGUAUACAGGUGGUGCAUGGUUGUCGUCAGCUCGUGUCGUGAGAUGUUGGGUUAAGUCCCGCAACGAGCGCAACCCUCGUUCUAUGUUGCCAGCACGUGAUGGUGGGGACUCAUAGGAGACUGCCGGGGUCAACUCGGAGGAAGGUGGGGAUGACGUCAAAUCAUCAUGCCCCUUAUGUCUUGGGCUUCACGCAUGCUACAAUGGCCGGUACAAAGGGUUGCGAUACUGUGAGGUUGAGCUAAUCCCAAAAAGCCGGUCUCAGUUCGGAUUGGGGUCUGCAACUCGACCCCAUGAAGUCGGAGUCGCUAGUAAUCGCAGAUCAGCAACGCUGCGGUGAAUACGUUCCCGGGCCUUGUACACACCGCCCGUCAAGUCACGAAAGUUGGUAACACCCG